UUAAGCGACUAAGCGUACACGGUGGAUGCCCUGGCAGUCAGAGGCGAUGAAGGACGUGCUAAUCUGCGAUAAGCGUCGGUAAGGUGAUAUGAACCGUUAUAACCGGCGAUUUCCGAAUGGGGAAACCCAGUGUGUUUCGACACACUAUCAUUAACUGAAUCCAUAGGUUAAUGAGGCGAACCGGGGGAACUGAAACAUCUAAGUACCCCGAGGAAAAGAAAUCAACCGAGAUUCCCCCAGUAGCGGCGAGCGAACGGGGAGGAGCCCAGAGCCUGAAUCAGUGUGUGUGUUAGUGGAAGCGUCUGGAAAGGCGCGCGAUACAGGGUGACAGCCCCGUACACAAAAAUGCACAUGCUGUGAGCUCGAUGAGUAGGGCGGGACACGUGGUAUCCUGUCUGAAUAUGGGGGGACCAUCCUCCAAGGCUAAAUACUCCUGACUGACCGAUAGUGAACCAGUACCGUGAGGGAAAGGCGAAAAGAACCCCGGCGAGGGGAGUGAAAAAGAACCUGAAACCGUGUACGUACAAGCAGUGGGAGCACGCUUCGGCGUGUGACUGCGUACCUUUUGUAUAAUGGGUCAGCGACUUAUAUUCUGUAGCAAGGUUAACCGAAUAGGGGAGCCGAAGGGAAACCGAGUCUUAACUGGGCGUUAAGUUGCAGGGUAUAGACCCGAAACCCGGUGAUCUAGCCAUGGGCAGGUUGAAGGUUGGGUAACACUAACUGGAGGACCGAACCGACUAAUGUUGAAAAAUUAGCGGAUGACUUGUGGCUGGGGGUGAAAGGCCAAUCAAACCGGGAGAUAGCUGGUUCUCCCCGAAAGCUAUUUAGGUAGCGCCUCGUGAACUCAUCUCCGGGGGUAGAGCACUGUUUCGGCAAGGGGGUCAUCCCGACUUACCAACCCGAUGCAAACUGCGAAUACCGGAGAAUGUUAUCACGGGAGACACACGGCGGGUGCUAACGUCCGUCGUGAAGAGGGAAACAACCCAGACCGCCAGCUAAGGUCCCAAAGUCAUGGUUAAGUGGGAAACGAUGUGGGAAGGCCCAGACAGCCAGGAUGUUGGCUUAGAAGCAGCCAUCAUUUAAAGAAAGCGUAAUAGCUCACUGGUCGAGUCGGCCUGCGCGGAAGAUGUAACGGGGCUAAACCAUGCACCGAAGCUGCGGCAGCGACACUAUGUGUUGUUGGGUAGGGGAGCGUUCUGUAAGCCUGUGAAGGUGUGCUGUGAGGCAUGCUGGAGGUAUCAGAAGUGCGAAUGCUGACAUAAGUAACGAUAAAGCGGGUGAAAAGCCCGCUCGCCGGAAGACCAAGGGUUCCUGUCCAACGUUAAUCGGGGCAGGGUGAGUCGACCCCUAAGGCGAGGCCGAAAGGCGUAGUCGAUGGGAAACAGGUUAAUAUUCCUGUACUUGGUGUUACUGCGAAGGGGGGACGGAGAAGGCUAUGUUGGCCGGGCGACGGUUGUCCCGGUUUAAGCGUGUAGGCUGGUUUUCCAGGCAAAUCCGGAAAAUCAAGGCUGAGGCGUGAUGACGAGGCACUACGGUGCUGAAGCAACAAAUGCCCUGCUUCCAGGAAAAGCCUCUAAGCAUCAGGUAACAUCAAAUCGUACCCCAAACCGACACAGGUGGUCAGGUAGAGAAUACCAAGGCGCUUGAGAGAACUCGGGUGAAGGAACUAGGCAAAAUGGUGCCGUAACUUCGGGAGAAGGCACGCUGAUAUGUAGGUGAAGCGACUUGCUCGUGGAGCUGAAAUCAGUCGAAGAUACCAGCUGGCUGCAACUGUUUAUUAAAAACACAGCACUGUGCAAACACGAAAGUGGACGUAUACGGUGUGACGCCUGCCCGGUGCCGGAAGGUUAAUUGAUGGGGUUAGCGGUAACGCGAAGCUCUUGAUCGAAGCCCCGGUAAACGGCGGCCGUAACUAUAACGGUCCUAAGGUAGCGAAAUUCCUUGUCGGGUAAGUUCCGACCUGCACGAAUGGCGUAAUGAUGGCCAGGCUGUCUCCACCCGAGACUCAGUGAAAUUGAACUCGCUGUGAAGAUGCAGUGUACCCGCGGCAAGACGGAAAGACCCCGUGAACCUUUACUAUAGCUUGACACUGAACAUUGAGCCUUGAUGUGUAGGAUAGGUGGGAGGCUUUGAAGUGUGGACGCCAGUCUGCAUGGAGCCGACCUUGAAAUACCACCCUUUAAUGUUUGAUGUUCUAACGUGGACCCGUGAUCCGGGUUGCGGACAGUGUCUGGUGGGUAGUUUGACUGGGGCGGUCUCCUCCUAAAGAGUAACGGAGGAGCACGAAGGUUGGCUAAUCCUGGUCGGACAUCAGGAGGUUAGUGCAAUGGCAUAAGCCAGCUUGACUGCGAGCGUGACGGCGCGAGCAGGUGCGAAAGCAGGUCAUAGUGAUCCGGUGGUUCUGAAUGGAAGGGCCAUCGCUCAACGGAUAAAAGGUACUCCGGGGAUAACAGGCUGAUACCGCCCAAGAGUUCAUAUCGACGGCGGUGUUUGGCACCUCGAUGUCGGCUCAUCACAUCCUGGGGCUGAAGUAGGUCCCAAGGGUAUGGCUGUUCGCCAUUUAAAGUGGUACGCGAGCUGGGUUUAGAACGUCGUGAGACAGUUCGGUCCCUAUCUGCCGUGGGCGCUGGAGAACUGAGGGGGGCUGCUCCUAGUACGAGAGGACCGGAGUGGACGCAUCACUGGUGUUCGGGUUGUCAUGCCAAUGGCACUGCCCGGUAGCUAAAUGCGGAAGAGAUAAGUGCUGAAAGCAUCUAAGCACGAAACUUGCCCCGAGAUGAGUUCUCCCUGACCCUUUAAGGGUCCUGAAGGAACGUUGAAGACGACGACGUUGAUAGGCCGGGUGUGUAAGCGCAGCGAUGCGUUGAGCUAACCGGUACUAAUGAACCGUGAGGCUUAACCUU
RNAcentral lists this ribosomal RNA (2903 nucleotides) under Escherichia coli. RNAcentral describes it as "bacterial LSU rRNA". It matches the Rfam family "Bacterial large subunit ribosomal RNA". The record is from RNAcentral. Lineage: Bacteria; Pseudomonadati; Pseudomonadota; Gammaproteobacteria; Enterobacterales; Enterobacteriaceae.